GAUGAACGCUGGCGGCGUGCCUAAUACAUGCAAGUCGAGCGAACAGAUGAGGAGCUUGCUCCUCUGACGUUAGCGGCGGACGGGUGAGUAACACGUGGAUGACCUACCUAUAAGACUGGGAUAACUUCGGGAAACCGGAGCUAAUACCGGAUAAUAUAUUGAACCGCAUGGUUCAAUAGUGAAAGACGGUUUUGCUGUCACUUAUAGAUGGAUCCGCGCCGCAUUAGCUAGUUGGUAAGGUAACGGCUUACCAAGGCAACGAUGCGUAGCCGACCUGAGAGGGUGAUCGGCCACACUGGAACUGAGACACGGUCCAGACUCCUACGGGAGGCAGCAGUAGGGAAUCUUCCGCAAUGGGCGAAAGCCUGACGGAGCAACGCCGCGUGAGUGAUGAAGGUCUUCGGAUCGUAAAACUCUGUUAUUAGGGAAGAACAAAUGUGUAAGUAACUAUGCCCGUCUUGACGGUACCUAAUCAGAAAGCCACGGCUAAAUACGUG
Molecule: ribosomal RNA, 497 nt
Filed under: uncultured bacterium
Lineage: Bacteria
Description: partial 16S ribosomal RNA
Rfam family: Bacterial small subunit ribosomal RNA
Source: RNAcentral